GAUGAAGAACGCAGUGAAAUGCGAUAAGUAAUGUGAAUUGCAGAAUUCAGUGAAUCAUCGAAUCUUUGAACGCACAUUGCGCCCGCCAGUAUUCUGGCGGGCAUGCCUGUUCGAGCGUCAUUACAACCCUCAGGCCCCCGGGCCUGGCGUUGGGGAUCGGCGGAGCCCCCCGUGGGCACACGCCGUCCCCCAAAUACAGUGGCGGUCCCGCCGCAGCUUCCAUCGCGUAGUAGCUAACACCUCGCAACUGGAGAGCGGCGCGGCCAUGCCGUAAAACACCCAACUUCUGAAUGUUGACCUCGAAUCAGGUAGGAAUACCCGCUGAACUUAAGCAUAUCAAUAAGCGGAGGA
This 351-nucleotide unclassified non-coding RNA is filed under the name soil metagenome. RNAcentral describes it as "partial contains 5.8S ribosomal RNA, internal transcribed spacer 2, and large subunit ribosomal RNA". The stretch from base 1 to 120 matches the Rfam family "5.8S ribosomal RNA", at positions 35 to 154 of the family's 154-position model. The record is from RNAcentral.